AUUGCCCUAGUAACGGCGAGUGAAGCGGCAACAGCUCAAAUUUGAAAUCUGGCCUCGGCCCGAGUUGUAAUUUGCAGAGGAUGCUUCUGGCGCGGUGCCUUCCGAGUUCCCUGGAACGGGACGCCACAGAGGGUGAGAGCCCCGUAUGGUCGGACACCAAGCCUGUGUGAAGCUCCUUCGACGAGUCGAGUAGUUUGGGAAUGCUGCUCUAAAUGGGAGGUAAAUCUCUUCUAAAGCUAAAUACCGGCCAGAGACCGAUAGCGCACAAGUAGAGUGAUCGAAAGAUGAAAAGCACCUUGAAAAGGGGGUUAAAUAGUACGUGAAAUUGUUGAAAGGGAAGCACUUGUGACCAGACUUGGGCCGGGCGGCUCAUCAGGGGUUCUCCCCUGUGCACUCCGCCCGGCACAGGCCAGCAUCGGUUCUCGUGGGGGGAUAAGACCGUCAGGAACGUAGCACCCUCCGGGGUGUGUUAUAGCCUGGCGGACGAUACCCCCGUGGGGACCGAGGUUCGCGCUCCGCAAGGAUGCUGGCGUAAUGGUCACCAGUGACCCGUCUUGAAACACGGACCAAGGAGUCGUCCAUUAGAGCGAGCGUUUGGGUGUAAAACCCGCACGCGUAAUGAAAGUGAACGCAGGUGAGAGCUUCGGCGCAUCAUCGACCGAUCCUGAUGUUCUCGGAAGGAUUUGAGUAAGAGUUUUAACGGACGGACCCGAAAGACAGUGAACUAUGCUUGUAUAGGGUGAAGCCAGAGGAAACUCUGGUGGAGGCUCGCAGCGGUUCUGACGUGCAAAUCGAUCGUCAAAUAUGAGCAUGGGGGCGAAAGACUAAUCGAACUGUCUAGUAGCUGGUUACCGCCGAAGUUUCCCUCAGGAUAGCAGUGUUGAUCUUCAGUUUUAUGAGGUAAAGCGAAUGAUUAGGGACUCGGGGGCGCUAUAUAGCCUUCAUCCAUUCUCAAACUUUAAAUAUGUAAGAAGCCCU
Molecule: ribosomal RNA, 978 nt
Filed under: Diaporthe phoenicicola
Lineage: Eukaryota; Fungi; Ascomycota; Sordariomycetes; Diaporthales; Diaporthaceae
Description: eukaryotic LSU rRNA
Rfam family: Eukaryotic large subunit ribosomal RNA
Source: RNAcentral